This 285-nucleotide long non-coding RNA is filed under the name Ananas comosus (pineapple). RNAcentral describes it as "long non-coding RNA (ACOM_LNC008971)". Lineage: Eukaryota; Viridiplantae; Streptophyta; Magnoliopsida; Poales; Bromeliaceae. The record is from RNAcentral.
AUUUUAAUUUGUUAUAAGUUUUGACUUGAAUUUUGUAAAUUAUUACAAUCAAGUCUUAAAAUCCAAUUUAGUUGAUUAAAUAUUAAUAUUUUGCUGAUAUAGAAGUGAUAUGACAUCUUAAAUAUUGCCGGUCAUUAAUCACAAUACUGCUAUAUCACUUCCGCAUUAGCGACAUAUUAAUUAAUAUUUUGUCAAUUAAAUUAUAUAUUUGAUUGCAAUAAUUUAUAAAAUUCAAGCAAGAACUUACAACAGAUUAAUGUUUUAUGCCAAUAAUUUCACACGUCU